RNAcentral lists this ribosomal RNA (253 nucleotides) under uncultured bacterium. RNAcentral describes it as "partial 16S ribosomal RNA". It matches the Rfam family "Bacterial small subunit ribosomal RNA", at positions 524 to 776 of the family's 1533-position model. The record is from RNAcentral.
UACGUAGGGUGCAAGCGUUAAUCGGAAUUACUGGGCGUAAAGCGUGCGCAGGCGGCUUUGCAAGACAGAUGUGAAAUCCCCGGGCUUAACCUGGGAACUGCAUUUGUGACUGCAUGGCUGGAGUGCGGCAGAGGGGGAUGGAAUUCCGCGUGUAGCAGUGAAAUGCGUAGAUAUGCGGAGGAACACCGAUGGCGAAGGCAAUCCCCUGGGCCUGCACUGACGCUCAUGCACGAAAGCUAGGGGAGCAAACAGG